UGGGGAAUUUUGGACAAUGGGGGAAACCCUGAUCCAGCCAUCCCGCGUGUGCGAUGAAGGCCUUCGGGUUGUAAAGCACUUUUGGCAGGAAAGAAACGUCAUGGGUUAAUACCCCGUCAAACUGACGGUACCUGCAGAAUAAGCACCGGCUAACUACGUGCCAGCAGCCGCGGUAAUACGUAGGGUGCAAGCGUUAAUCGGAAUUACUGGGCGUAAAGCGUGCGCAGGCGGUUCGGAAAGAAAGAUGUGAAAUCCCAGAGCUCAACUUUGGAACUGCAUUUUUAACUACCGGGCUAGAGUGUGUCAGAGGGAGGUGGAAUUCCGCGUGUAGCAGUGAAAUGCGUAGAUAUGCGGAGGAACACCGAUGGCGAAGGCAGCCUCCUGGGAUAACACUGACGCUCAUGCACGAAAGCGUGGGGAGCAAACAGG
Molecule: ribosomal RNA, 429 nt
Filed under: Acidobacteriota bacterium
Lineage: Bacteria; Pseudomonadati; Acidobacteriota
Description: Acidobacteria bacterium partial 16S ribosomal RNA
Rfam family: Bacterial small subunit ribosomal RNA
Source: RNAcentral